Lolium perenne is the source of this 2750-nucleotide non-coding RNA. The record is from RefSeq and is a predicted model, not a curated record. NCBI's taxonomy places the organism in Eukaryota, Viridiplantae, Streptophyta, Magnoliopsida, Poales, Poaceae.
AUCUGAGACGUUCCUUCGUCAAACAAAACCGCCAACCAAAACCCUAGCUCGCUCGCUCGUGCCCCCAUUCCCCGUCCGAACAGACAACUCUCGAGAGGAGAGACUCAACCCACGCCCAGGACACCUAGCGGCGGCGGCGGCGGCUGCGGCGAAGGUCGUUCCUCCCCUGCAGCCUUUACCUAACCCUAGAUCGACGGGGCCGCAACCAUCUCAUCUCCUCUGCCCACAGGCGGCGGGAGAAGCAGUGAAGACCAUGGCCUGCUGCUCUGUCGGCAACCAAAGACGGAGAAAAGAAGGCCACUUCGGGUGUGGAUGGAUUCGGCGAUGGGCGAGGCCGCAUCACAGUAUGUUUCUUCUCCUCUUUCCUCACGUUUAAAGGUUUCAUGUCCGAUCUGCCGCUGCCCUCCGUAGCCCUCGGCAUGGCUCCGCCGGAUCCUCCGUCGCUUCUCCCCUCUGUAUGGCUCCGCAGGAUCGUCCGUCACCUCUCCUUUUACUCUCUAUCUCCGGCUGAAGCAGUCCUCCCGGCCGGCGUUGUCGCAGCAGCAACAACCGCCAGAGGGCGCCAGGACGUACGUGCACCUCCGUUGUCAAGUUCGUGUCCCUUCCGGAGCAGCACAAGGACUCUAUGUGAUGAAAAGUCUGACCACGAUCUCAACGUAAUGGUCUUCCGAUCAGUCUUAUUUUUUGGUGUAGCUCUAUGUGAUGAAAAGUAUACUGGGUUAGAAUCAAUUUAGAUUGUUAAUCUUUUGGCGGUAUAAAAACUAAGAUGCAUGUAUAUUCUUGGACAAACUUUUCAGUAUGUUUAGCUUUCAGAAAUUUAAAUACUUCAGUACUAACAGAUUUUAUUCUUAAAAUGCAAUACGAGAUUCGCAUGAAAGGACAAUUUCUUAUAGUUCAGGCUAGCGUAUUGUUUGCUACUUGGCAUAGGUAUGGUCUAUUUAUAUAAAGUAAAUACCUUAAAGGUAUGAUUCAAAUAGAGGUUCCUGGUUUGGUUUUUCACUUUGCUUCGUGUUAACAGUUUUGUUGUUUUGCAUCAGGUAUUUCUUUCUAUGAAAGACGCAAGUUUAAUUGAUGAGAUCGGAGCUAUACAUUUGAAUGGAAUGUUUCUCUCAUUCAACGGGCUAAAGUGUGUUUAUCACAACUUGAAAGCAGCUUGAUCCUGUUUAAAUUGCCUUUCUAAAUUGGCUUUCACAUGUACGGUAACAACAACACAUGAAUUAGUCCUCAAUCAAGAAUGCAGUAUCAAGGAUAUCCCAUAUGCAUUUAUAUUUCCUGUAUGAACAUGGAGGCAACACUACAGGAAUCUACUGCUGCUAGCAUCCGGCAGAUUAGGUGUUGUUUAUGGAUACAUUACCUCUUUAUGUACAAAAAAAUAUUCUCGGGAAGGAUCAUUCAAUACCAUGACGGACAAACAGUAUUCAAUGUAUCUUCCCUGAUAUUUGGACCUUCACAUUAGUUUGUUUGCGCAAGAAUGUCAUUAUUGUAUUGAACACCAAUAACAAUGGCAAAGUUCAUCCUAGGUGGUCCUCUGGUGCUCAGUUUAUGUACACCACCGGGAUUCAUCAUGCAGUGGCCGGUCCUUGAAUAACGUCCAACAAGAUGCAGUAUGAGCCAUUCCACGAACGACACUCCUACAUUUGUCACUUGUUAGCUGCGGUAUGAGUCGUUGUGCCUACAUCAGCGACUUGGUAUGCUCUAGACUUCUGAGAUAAAUAUAUCAGUUUAUGUACACCACCGAGAUUCAUCAUGCAGUAGCCGGCCCUUGAAUAACGUCCAACAAGAUGCAGUAUGAGCCAUUCCACGAACGACACUCCUACAUUUGUCACUUGUUAGCUGCGGUAUGAGUCGUUGUGCCUACAUCAGCGACUUGAUUUGAAGUGGCGCUCCAGAAGGUUUGGUGCUUCUCAAGUAUAUAUGACGAUUGCAUCCUAAUGUAUCAAAUAGAAAAGAAGCAACAUUGUAUUAUUUGUGUGGAAUUACAUGACUAUUAUCGCCUAAUGUAUCAAAUGGAAAAGCUGCAUCCCAGAUCAGAGAGAUCGCAAAGUCUCAUCACCAGGAGCUAAAUGCCUUGUUGACCUCCUGAUGUGGAUGAAACAUCUGAGCUUGCUUUUGGAAGUUUCUUCCCGUAUGAACUGAGGCUUUCUGUUUUUCUGUUUGAGUUACAUGAAUGUCUGACAUAUGUAGACAACAAUGUGUCAGAGAGCGUUUCUUGAUUGAACCAAGCGAUGAAUUUUUCAGUUUUUAUACUUGGAAUAUUUACUUGAGUGGUACUCGGGAGGAUCUCGGUCAUGUGCAAGAAUAAGGAGAAUAUUGUUGAUGUGCAGCUUUGGAUUGUUCCCAUUUCCCAAGUUGGAAGGAUUUGUGAUGCUGUAGAAGUGGCCGCCGGGAAGGACUGUCCACAUCACCGACCGUGGCGACCGGUCUUGUGUCUCAGUCUCACAAGUAAGAAGAUAAAGCUGCUGCUGCGAGGACCGAAGGGCUUGACGCUGCCGGCCAUGCGAUGGGGACCGUGUGGCCUGUGUUCAAGAUCCGGCAGGCCAUCGACCCGGAGAGUGUCCAGAAGCCCAUGGCGCUCCGUACGGACGCCAGCCGUUGACUUCACUUGCAAAUAGAAGCACUCAUCCUGAGUCCCCGCUUGUAGACAUAUGUGCUGGAAACAAAGAGCAAACAUAAGUGUAUUGUCCUUUUCCUCCGCUGUUGUCAGCGUUUUUGUGCUGAAAAUUGCACAUCCUUGUUGUUCGGUUUGGUUA